This 122-nucleotide transfer RNA is filed under the name Variovorax atrisoli. RNAcentral's name for it is "tRNA-Leu". The record is from RNAcentral. Lineage: Bacteria; Pseudomonadati; Pseudomonadota; Betaproteobacteria; Burkholderiales; Comamonadaceae.
AGCGCAUUUUCGAUGCAGCGCGAAACGACCUGUUCGUCGGGCUGGGAUGAACCCAUAGGGAUGCGCAGCGCAUCUGGUUUAGGACCAGAGGGCCGAAGGUUUAAUUCCUUUCGGGCCGACCA